Molecule: ribosomal RNA, 467 nt
Filed under: uncultured bacterium
Lineage: Bacteria
Description: partial 16S ribosomal RNA
Rfam family: Bacterial small subunit ribosomal RNA
Source: RNAcentral
AACGAACGCUGGCGGCGUGCUUAACACAUGCAAGUCGAGCGGGAAACUUCGGUUUCCAGCGGCGGACGGGUGAGUAACACGUGGGCAACCUGCCUCACAAUGAGGGAUAGCCCUCCGAAAGGAGGAUUAAUACCUCAUAACACAAGAGAAACGCAUGUUUUUCUUGUCGAAGAAUUUCGUUGUGAGAUGGGCCCGCGGCGCAUUAGCUUGUUGGUGAGGUAACGGCUCACCAAGGCUUCGAUGCGUAGCCGACCUGAGAGGGUGAUCGGCCACAUUGGAACUGAGACACGGUCCAGACUCCUACGGGAGGCAGCAGUGGAGAAUAUUGCACAAUGGAGGAAACUCUGAUGUAGCAACGCCGCGUGAGUGAUGAAGGUCUUCGGAUUGUAAAGCUCUGUCUUCUGGGACGAUAAUGACGGUACCAGAGGAGGAAGCCACGGCUAACUACGUGCCAGCCGCCGCCGUAA